GUUGAGAUAGCUCAGUCGGUAGAGUGUGGGAUUCUUGAUUUCAGGGUUGUGGGUUCAAGACCCACAUUGGGCA
This is a non-coding RNA of Podarcis lilfordi (Lilford's wall lizard), 73 nucleotides long. NCBI's taxonomy places the organism in Eukaryota, Metazoa, Chordata, Lepidosauria, Squamata, Lacertidae. The record is from the annotation of a GenBank genome assembly.